AUGCUGGAGGUAUCAGAAGUGCGAAUGCUGACAUAAGUAACGAUAAAGCGGGUGAAAAGCCCGCUCGCCGGAAGACCAAGGGUUCCUGUCCAACGUUAAUCGGGGCAGGGGGAGUCGACCCCUAAGGCGAGGCCGAAAGGCGUAGUCGAUGGGAAACAGGUUAAUAUUCCUGUACUUGGUGUUACUGCGAAGGGGGGACGGAGAAGGCUAUGUUGGCCGGGCGACGGUUGUCCCGGUUUAAGCGUGUAGGCUGGUUUUCCAGGUAAAUCCGGAAAAUCAAGGCUGAGGCGUGAUGACGAGGCACUACGGUGCUGAAGCAACAAAUGCCCUGCUUCCAGGAAAAGCCUCUAAGCAUCAGGUAACAUCAAAUCGUACCCCAAACCGACACAGGUGGUCAGGUAGAGAAUACCAAGGCGCUUGAGAGAACUCGGGUGAAGGAACUAGGCAAAAUGGUGCCGUAACUUCGGGAGAAGGCACGCUGAUAUGUAGGUGAAGCGACUU
RNAcentral lists this ribosomal RNA (501 nucleotides) under Escherichia coli. Its description in RNAcentral is "bacterial LSU rRNA". It matches the Rfam family "Bacterial large subunit ribosomal RNA", at positions 1270 to 1771 of the family's 2925-position model. The record is from RNAcentral. Lineage: Bacteria; Pseudomonadati; Pseudomonadota; Gammaproteobacteria; Enterobacterales; Enterobacteriaceae.